RNAcentral lists this long non-coding RNA (276 nucleotides) under Manihot esculenta (cassava). RNAcentral describes it as "long non-coding RNA (MESC_LNC011279)". Lineage: Eukaryota; Viridiplantae; Streptophyta; Magnoliopsida; Malpighiales; Euphorbiaceae. The record is from RNAcentral.
CAGAUACAAGUAUAUCUGAGGAAUCCACUGUUCCUCAAUACCAAACACCUUAUUUUGGAGAAACCUCUGGAACCAAACCUGUAGAAGAAACCUUUGAUCAACAAACUAAACCACAAACCACAACAAAAGGAAUAAAAAUACAAGAAGGUAUUUUUCGACAAGGACAGUUUAGUCAACCAUAUGAAGAUAGUGAAUUUACUAUAAAUACUUUAACAAAUACUUUUAUCUUAGAUAAGGACCAAAUUCAAACUGACUAUAUGUCAGAUAAAAACCGGG